Molecule: ribosomal RNA, 321 nt
Filed under: uncultured eukaryote
Lineage: Eukaryota
Description: partial 18S ribosomal RNA
Rfam family: Eukaryotic small subunit ribosomal RNA
Source: RNAcentral
CCCUUAGAUGUUCUGGGCUGCACGCGCGCUACACUGAUGCGCUCAACGAGUUUACGAACUUGCCCGGAAGGGUUGGUUAAUCUUUUUAAAACGCAUCGUGAUGGGGAUAGAUUAUUGCAAUUAUUAAUCUUCAACGAGGAAUUCCUAGUAAGCGCGAGUCAUCAGCUCGCACUGAUUACGUCCCUGCCCUUUGUACACACCGCCCGUCGCUCCUACCGAUUUCGAGUGGUCCGGUGAAUCUUUCGGACUGCGCGCGGCCUCGUGCCGUGUCGCGGAAAGUCAGGUAAACCUUAUCACUUAGAGGAAGGAGAAGUCGUAACA